This is a non-coding RNA of Candidatus Daviesbacteria bacterium, 87 nucleotides long. NCBI's taxonomy places the organism in Bacteria, Candidatus Daviesiibacteriota. The record is from Rfam.
GGAGAGGUCGCAUAGUGGUCGAGUGCCGCUCGGUGCUAACGAGCUAUAUCCGCAAGGGUAUCGUGGGUUCGAAUCCCACCCUCUCCG